Molecule: non-coding RNA, 327 nt
Organism: Nelumbo nucifera (sacred lotus)
Lineage: Eukaryota; Viridiplantae; Streptophyta; Magnoliopsida; Proteales; Nelumbonaceae
Source: RefSeq, a predicted model, not a curated record
AGAACCAUCUGCUACUCUGCUUUCCUGGUACGCAGACGAACAAGGAAGAAAGGGGGGAUUCAGAAGCUUGAUAGGAGAAGGGUUCCGUUUUACUGGUUCUGUUGUUCCGAUGCUCGAAGCCGUGAUGGCCGUUGUUCCUAUUGAGAGGCUUGCUGUUCAUUUUCAUGACACUUAUGGCCAAUCUCUGGCAAAUAUUUUGAUAUCUCUCCAAUGUUGCUGCCUCUUCCAUGGCUACUCUGAAACAACCAACAAAAAGAGUUGUAGCUAUCAUAGCUGAAUGUGUUCCAGAAUCAGAUAUAAAGCAGCUGAUUGCCAGUGAUUUCCCUC